AUGCAAACUACGAAUACCGAAGAAUGUUAUCACGGGAGACACACGGCGGGUGCUAACGUCCGUCGUGAAGAGGGAAACAACCCAGACCGCCAGCUAAGGUCCCAAAGUCAUGGUUAAGUGGGAAACGAUGUGGGAAGGCACAGACAGCCAGGAUGUUGGCUUAGAAGCAGCCAUCAUUUAAAGAAAGCGUAAUAGCUCACUGGUCGAGUCGGCCUGCGCGGAAGAUGUAACGGGGCUAAACCAUGCACCGAAGCUGCGGCAGCGACACUAUGUGUUGUUGGGUAGGGGAGCGUUCUGUAAGCCUGCGAAGGUGACCUGUGAGGGUUGCUGGAGGUAUCAGAAGUGCGAAUGCUGACAUAAGUAACGAUAAAGCGGGUGAAAAGCCCGCUCGCCGGAAGACCAAGGGUUCCUGUCCAACGUUAAUCGGGGCAGGGUGAGUCGACCCCUAAGGCGAGGCCGAAAGGCGUAGUCGAUGGGAAACAGGUUAAUAUUCCUGUACUUGGUGUUACUGCGAAGGGGGGACGGAGAAGGCUAUGUUAGCCGGGCGACGGUUGUCCCGGUUUAAGCAUGUAGGCUGGUUGUCCAGGCAAAUCCGGAUAACCAAGGCUGAGGUGUGAUGACGAGGCACUACGGUGCUGAAGUAACAAAUGCCCUGCUUCCAGGAAAAGCCUCUAAGCAUCAGGUAACAUCAAAUCGUACCCCAAACCGACACAGGUGGUCAGGUAGAGAAUACCAAGGCGCUUGAGAGAACUCGGGUGAAGGAACUAGGCAAAAUGGUGCCGUAACUUCGGGAGAAGGCACGCUGGUGUGUAGGUGAAGUCCCUGCGGAUGGAGCUGAGACCAGUCGAAGAUACCAGCUGGCUGCAACUGUUUAUUAAAAACACAGCACUGUGCAAACACGAAAGUGGACGUAUACGGUGUGACGCCUGCCCGGUGCCGGAAGGUUAAUUGAUGGGGUUAUCCGUAAGGAGAAGCUCUUGAUCGAAGCCCCGGUAAACGGCGGCCGUAACUAUAACGGUCCUAAGGUAGCGAAAUUCCUUGUCGGGUAAGUUCCGACCUGCACGAAUGGCGUAAUGAUGGCCAGGCUGUCUCCACCCGAGACUCAGUGAAAUUGAACUCGCUGUGAAGAUGCAGUGUACCCGCGGCAAGACGGAAAGACCCCGUGAACCUUUACUAUAGCUUGACACUGAACAUUGAGCCUUGAUGUGUAGGAUAGGUGGGAGGCUUUGAAGCGUGGACGCCAGUCUGCGUGGAGCCAACCUUGAAAUACCACCCUUUAAUGUUUGAUGUUCUAACGUUGGCCCCUGACCGGGGUUGCGGACAGUGUCUGGUGGGUAGUUUGACUGGGGCGGUCUCCUCCCAAAGCGUAACGGAGGAGCACGAAGGUUAGCUAAUCCUGGUCGGACAUCAGGAGGUUAGUGCAAUGGCAUAAGCUAGCUUGACUGCGAGCGUGACGGCGCGAGCAGGUGCGAAAGCAGGUCAUAGUGAUCCGGUGGUUCUGAAUGGAAGGGCCAUCGCUCAACGGAUAAAAGGUACUCCGGGGAUAACAGGCUGAUACCGCCCAAGAGUUCAUAUCGACGGCGGUGUUUGGCACCUCGAUGUCGGCUCAUCACAUCCUGGGGCUGAAGUAGGUCCCAAGGGUAUGGCUGUUCGCCAUUUAAAGUGGUACGCGAGCUGGGUUUAGAACGUCGUGAGACAGUUCGGUCCCUAUCUGCCGUGGGCGCUGGAGAAUUGAGGGGGGCUGCUCCUAGUACGAGAGGACCGGAGUGGACGCAUCACUGGUGUUCGGGUUGUCAUGCCAAUGGCACUGCCCGGUAGCUAAAUGCGGAAGAGAUAAGUGCUGAAAGCAUCUAAGCACGAAACUUGCCCCGAGAUGAGUUCUCCCUGAGACUUUAAGUCUCCUGAAGGAACGUUGAAGACGACGACGUUGAUAGGCCGGGUGUGUAAGCGCAGCGAUGCGUUGAGCUAACCGGUACUAAUGAACCGUGAGGCUUAACCUU
RNAcentral lists this ribosomal RNA (2000 nucleotides) under Klebsiella pneumoniae UCI 42. RNAcentral's name for it is "bacterial LSU rRNA". It matches the Rfam family "Bacterial large subunit ribosomal RNA", at positions 947 to 2925 of the family's 2925-position model. Lineage: Bacteria; Pseudomonadati; Pseudomonadota; Gammaproteobacteria; Enterobacterales; Enterobacteriaceae. The record is from RNAcentral.